CCUACGGGCGGCAUCAGUGGGGAAUAUUGGACAAUGGGGGGAACCCUGAUCCAGCCAUGCCGCGUGUGUGAAGAAGGCCCUCGGGUUGUAAAGCACUUUCAGUGAGGAAGAACGCCUGGUGGUUAAUACCCAUCAGGAAAGACAUCACUCACAGAAGAAGCACCGGCUAACUCCGUGCCAGCAGCCGCGGUAAUACGGAGGGUGCGAGCGUUAAUCGGAAUUACUGGGCGUAAAGCGCGCGUAGGUGGCUUGAUAAGCCGGUUGUGAAAGCCCCGGGCUCAACCUGGGAACGGCAUCCGGAACUGUCAAGCUAGAGUGCAGGAGAGGAAGGUAGAAUUCCCGGUGUAGCGGUGAAAUGCGUAGAGAUCGGGAGGAAUACCAGUGGCGAAGGCGGCCUUCUGGACUGACACUGACACUGAGGUGCGAAAGCGUGGGUAGCAAACAGGAUUAGAUACCCUAGUAGUC
Molecule: ribosomal RNA, 465 nt
Filed under: Vreelandella stevensii
Lineage: Bacteria; Pseudomonadati; Pseudomonadota; Gammaproteobacteria; Oceanospirillales; Halomonadaceae
Description: partial 16S ribosomal RNA
Rfam family: Bacterial small subunit ribosomal RNA
Source: RNAcentral